This is a long non-coding RNA of Mesocricetus auratus (golden hamster), 937 nucleotides long. RefSeq lists it as uncharacterized. The record is from RefSeq and is a predicted model, not a curated record. The transcript has 2 exons. NCBI's taxonomy places the organism in Eukaryota, Metazoa, Chordata, Mammalia, Rodentia, Cricetidae.
GGACCCAAAAUAACAAUUCUUCUGCGGAGGUCGAUGUAAGAGUCUCCUGGGCCCGAGUUCUUCUUCCCGGGAUUUGGCUUCCUACUUCCCGGACUGUCAGGACACUACCGAUGCCAUAGUAAUCUGAGCCGGGAUAUCCCUUCUUAAAUCAGCCGGUGGGACCCAUGAUGGAAGGCCAGAAAACAGAUGAGAAGGGACCAGAGAGGACAGUCGUCCUCACUUUCCUUUUCCUACUCAUCUUUAAGGACGACGCCAAAAGUAUGCCCCUGUAGCGUCAGGAAUGGCGCAGUCCAACCGCCUCAGUCUUGCACCGUUAGCAGCAACACUCUGGGCCAAGGUUCUGCUUCCGAGGUCACCCCCGCUUGGGCAGCCUCUGGCCUCCGGCGUCCAGUCACCUAAACCUCAAACAGGCUGGACUAGCCAGGUUAGGAGAGGUGAGUGAAAUGACAAAAGCUUAGAGGACAUAUUACUUUUUCUAAACAAAACCACGAGAGACUAAACAGACAUAAGCAGGCAUUGUAGAUAGGCCUCCGGUGUUGGUUUUGUGUUGUUUGUUCGUUACUAUUAUUGAAAGCCCUCCCCUUCCUCAGAAUCUCUGCCCCAACUCAGUCUUUUACUGAGACUUUUCCUAGUAUCCAAGGCCCCUACUAGGAGUAAGGAUCUUAAAAUUCUACUGGAAGCUGGUUGACCCUACAUCUUGGAUGCCAUCUUCACUGUACUUACGAGUUGAUUUCAGAUCGUUUUGUUCCCUUCUUAUCUUUCUUCCCCUUUCCCCCCUUUUUUGAGACAGUAUAUUUUUUCCCUGGCCGCUGUUAUAUUCCUUGGUUCAAGCCACUGGCCUGUGGAGUAAGUAGGAAUAUAUCCAUGUGCCCUCCAUGCUAGACUAAACCUCAGCUUCUGUAUAAUAAUGACUAUUAUUAUAAUAAUAUAGUAACAA